RNAcentral lists this ribosomal RNA (250 nucleotides) under uncultured bacterium. Its description in RNAcentral is "partial 16S ribosomal RNA". It matches the Rfam family "Bacterial small subunit ribosomal RNA", at positions 355 to 600 of the family's 1533-position model. The record is from RNAcentral.
UCGAGAAUCUUCGGCAAUGGACGCAAGUCUGACCGAGCGACGCCGCGUGCGGGAUGAAGGCCUUCGGGUUGUAAACCGCUGUCAGAGGGGAUGAAAUGCGUAGAGGCUAUCCUUUACGCUUGACAGAGCCUCAGAGGAAGCACGGGCUAAGUACGUGCCAGCAGCCGCGGUGAUACGUACUGUGCGAACGUUAUUCGGAAUUACUGGGCUUACAGGGUGUGUAGGCGGCUGAAUAAGUAGGGUGUGAAAU